This 497-nucleotide ribosomal RNA is filed under the name uncultured bacterium. RNAcentral's name for it is "partial 16S ribosomal RNA". It matches the Rfam family "Bacterial small subunit ribosomal RNA", at positions 28 to 507 of the family's 1533-position model. The record is from RNAcentral.
GAUGAACGCUGGCGGCGUGCCUAAUACAUGCAAGUCGAGCGAACAGACGAGGAGCUUGCUCCUCUGACGUUAGCGGCGGACGGGUGAGUAACACGUGGAUAACCUACCUAUAAGACUGGGAUAACUUCGGGAAACCGGAGCUAAUACCGGAUAAUAUAUUGAACCGCAUGGUUCAAUAAUGAAAGACGGUUUUGCUGUCACUUAUAGAUGGAUCCGCGCCGCAUUAGCUAGUUGGUAAGGUAACGGCUUACCAAGGCGACGAUGCGUAGCCGACCUGAGAGGGUGAUCGGCCACACUGGAACUGAGACACGGUCCAGACUCCUACGGGAGGCAGCAGUAGGGAAUCUUCCGCAAAGGGCGAAAGCCUGACGGAGCAACGCCGCGUGAGUGAUGAAGGUCUUCGGAUCGUAAAACUCUGUUAUUAGGGAAGAACAAAUGUGUAAGUAACUAUGCACGUCUUGACGGUACCUAAUCGGAAAGCCACGGCUAACUACGUG